AUACUUGCCUGGCAGGGGCGAUACCAUGAUCAUGAAGGUGGUUCACUCAGGGCGAGGCUCUGCCAUUGCGCUUCGGUUGCACUGACCCUUGCAAAUUGUAAUUGGAAAC
Small nuclear RNA from Pygocentrus nattereri (red-bellied piranha), 109 nucleotides. Its record names the gene U1. It matches the Rfam family "U1 spliceosomal RNA". From Rfam's summary of the family: U1 is a small nuclear RNA (snRNA) component of the spliceosome (involved in pre-mRNA splicing). Its 5' end forms complementary base pairs with the 5' splice junction, thus defining the 5' donor site of an intron. NCBI's taxonomy places the organism in Eukaryota, Metazoa, Chordata, Actinopteri, Characiformes, Serrasalmidae. The record is from Ensembl.